UUGAGCUAUUGCAUAUUUACAAUAUUUGAUACAGUUUUUUAUAGUGUAUAUUAAUGUUUUUCGGUAUAUUGGUGCAAUAUUGAUUAAUUAUUAAUACGUAAAUAUUACGGCGAAAUUAUUGCAAUAAUCGCGAACGUGUCGCGUUUUAUUCGCGCGAUUUAUUUUAAUAAUGAACAUGUGAAAUAUAUUGUGAAAUUGUGUAUAAAAUGUGUUGCAUGCGCAAAAUAAUAAAAGAGAAAGUGAUUUGUUAAUAAUUGUGUCAAUUUGUGAAAAUGAAAAUUGUGUCUGAUUGCGUAGAUAAUUUGCAAUAAUGUGGUAAAAGUGUUUUUAAUACACAAGUGCCGGGAUAACCUUGGGGAUAAAUAUUAUUUGAUAAUAUUUCUUAAUAUUUAAAUAAUCGUGGCCAUCGAUCUUCCUCCAAAAUCUCAUCAUCCGAUGCAACAAUUCAAAUAGUUUUCACUGAUUUUUUUCGGUUUGCAAACAAAUUGCAAAUAUGGAACACACUCACGUCGAAAAAAUCAGAUGUUCCGGACCGUGUGUAACGAGAUAGAGAUGAGGGCUGACCAAUAGGACAUUUGCGACAUCUAGUGGCGAGUGACGGAAUGAACUAAGCUGGGGGUUUAAGGAAGAAACCGUCGAGCGGAUUUAAUGAGGAGCAAGGAAAAGGAACAUGAGGAAGGAUAUCAAAAAGGGUGGAUGGAACUACAGGGUGUUCAAACAAACAAAACUCACAUGAAAUUUUGCAAAAAAAUACUUUUUGGUUAUGUACACUGGAGCGAAAGAACUUUUCCUCAUCCUGUCCAUUAAAUCUGCUCGCCUAGCGUGUAAAAUCACAUAGCAAAGGACGAACAUGAAAAAGGAAAACUCCGGACAAGCGGAUUAAAGACUAACUCUGAAAGCGCCCCGAAGACAUCUUUAGACUGUUCCGUCUCGUCAGGAAAAGCUCUCUCAGUGCACACACGGAUUGCAAACUGCUUUAACGAACCGUGAAUAGCAGCGCUGAGCAAAGAAGCAUUGAAAAGCUUUAUAAAAGAGUUUCCAUUGGAGAUCCAACCCUCUUGUUGACCGUGAAUGGAGCGAAACGUGCGCUUAAUGGAUUUUCAAAUGAGAAUUUAAUCUAGGAAUAUGUGUUGGAGAAGGGGAUGAUUUGUAACUGCCAGUGGAUAUUUACGAACGCACAUGAAAAUAAUAAAAAACAGAAUCGACGAAUCGAAAUAAAAAUAAAGCUUCGAACGGCGAGCGAAAAAAAGGCGCGCCAGCACGAAAAAAAAGAGCGUCGGGAACAAAAUAAUAAAUAAGCAAAAAAAAACUGUUGCAUACGUCAUACCCACCCUCUUCUCGUGUGCAUUCCGCUAGCUCUGUCCAUGGCGCUGCGUCGAAGCGAGCGCGCACUCGAAGAGGAGGCGACGCGCUGUUUGUUCGCGGAGUUUUAAAAACGCGCAUUCCAAAACAAUAAUACUCAAUCAAUGAUAGCAAUGAGCCAAUAACCAAAUGGGGACGGUGUUACACGCGCUCGCAUGCAUGUGCGGGGCAGCCGGAGAGGCGGAGGACAGGAGGGAGGGGAAUCGGCGGCGGGCGUCCCGAUGUGACAACCCUGUUUACAAAUGUAGCGAUUGAUUCUUCCCAAUGUUGUGUUUCGUGCCGGCCGCACUGCCGGUGUCGGUGAUCAGACUGUUUGGUCAUUGUGACAUCUAAUGUGUUAAGUGUCUCUUGGUAACAUCUCAGAAAGUCACCUUCAAAGUAAAUCAAUUUCCCGCUUCGAGGAUGCAGUGAAACACUGAAAAAAUUUUUAGUGAAUUUUUGGACCGAGAAGGGUGUGGUUACACGAAGCGAGUAGAUUGUGUGUAAGUUAUGCAAGUGAAAAUGGCCGUCGCUCGUGCACGACGGGUUCUCUUCCGUUGCUACGCGCGCCGUUGAUGAAAAACGCAAGGGGUGGAGUUUUGCUCCGGCCGCCGCUGGACGCCGCUGCCAUGUGCGAUGUGCGAUGGAAAGCCGCAAAAGUGCGCUCCCUCUGUGUGUGUCAGUUUUCAGACUGACUCUUGCGGCGCUGUUCCCGUUGGAUAACAUUCAAAGAAAAAAAGAAGCUCGAUCUAAACUCGGCGAUGCCAUUGCAGGGUGUCGGUUGGACGCAGCCUAAAAUGACAGAACACAAAGCGACGCCGACGCCCGAGGAACAGCAAAAAAGGGAGCGAAACAGAGCGAAGGCGGGGGCGAAAAUAGCGACAAGCGGCACACCGUUAUUUGCAUAAAUUUGCGCUGCGCCCAAAAAUAGUACUCCGGAAAAGAUAAUUAAAAGAGCCGAAUGAGUGACACAAGUAUCCAGCGUUCGUAGAGUCACUAGACUAGAACGAGAUAUUUUAUGCAGCUAACAAGUUUCGUUGUUGUGUUUUUUGCUUUUGGUGAUUGGCAUGGCUGAAAAGUUAUUUCCUCACUUUUUGUGGGAUCUAUUCUUGAAUCUUUAAUACUAGCCACUGACAAAACUAGAAACAAGUUAGAGGAUUUUUUUAUGAUCAAACUUUUUACCACAAAAACUAAAAUUGAAAAAUAAAAAGAAUAAAUUUAAUAAAUUGUA
Dalotia coriaria is the source of this 2572-nucleotide long non-coding RNA. RefSeq lists it as uncharacterized. The transcript has 7 exons. NCBI's taxonomy places the organism in Eukaryota, Metazoa, Arthropoda, Insecta, Coleoptera, Staphylinidae. The record is from RefSeq and is a predicted model, not a curated record.